CAUUUGUGCUUCCUUGCCCACACUUGAACACGAGAAUGCCAUGGAAGAAACGUAUUUUAUAAUAAGAAGUCUUUGGAAUUUCAAAUAUACACUCAAAGGAAACUAGUCACUAUGGCAUGCUAGAAAGAGCGACAUUAAGCAACCGAAAUAAGGAAGUUCACUUGGCAUGUACACAGCUCACCUGUCCAUGGAGUCCCCAUCCAAAUGUAAAUAGUGCUCCUGCAU
This 225-nucleotide unclassified non-coding RNA is filed under the name Hevea brasiliensis (rubber tree). The record is from RNAcentral. Lineage: Eukaryota; Viridiplantae; Streptophyta; Magnoliopsida; Malpighiales; Euphorbiaceae.